AGUGAACGCUGGCGGUAGGCCUAACACAUGCAAGUCGAACGGCAGCACAGUAAUAGCUUGCUCUUACGGGUGGCGAGUGGCGGACGGGUGAGGAAUACAUCGGAAUCUACUUUUUCGUGGGGGAUAACGUAGGGAAACUUACGCUAAUACCGCAUACGACCUACGGGUGAAAGCAGGGGAUCUUCGGACCUUGCGCGAUUGAAUGAGCCGAUGUCGGAUUAGCUAGUUGGCGGGGUAAAGACCCACCAAGUCGACGAUCCGUAGCUGGACUGAGAGGAUGAUAAGCCACACUGGAACUGAGACACGGUCCAGACUACUACGGGAGGCAGCAGUGGGGAAUAUUGGGCAAUGGGCGCAAGCCUGAUCCAGCCAUCCCGCGUGUGUGAAGAAGGCCUUCGGGUUGUAAAGCCCUUUUGUUGGGAAAGAAAAGCAGCAGGUUAAUACCCCGCUGUUCUGACGGUAACCAAAGAAUAAGCACCGGCUAACUACGUG
RNAcentral lists this ribosomal RNA (492 nucleotides) under uncultured bacterium. Its description in RNAcentral is "partial 16S ribosomal RNA". It matches the Rfam family "Bacterial small subunit ribosomal RNA", at positions 29 to 507 of the family's 1533-position model. The record is from RNAcentral.